RNAcentral lists this ribosomal RNA (267 nucleotides) under uncultured Oscillospiraceae bacterium. RNAcentral describes it as "partial 16S ribosomal RNA". It matches the Rfam family "Bacterial small subunit ribosomal RNA", at positions 64 to 339 of the family's 1533-position model. Lineage: Bacteria; Bacillati; Bacillota; Clostridia; Eubacteriales; Oscillospiraceae. The record is from RNAcentral.
AAGCUUGCUUUUUAAAGCUUAGUGGCGGACGGGUGAGUAACGCGUGAGCAACCUGCCUCUCAGAGGGGGAUAACGUUUUGAAAAGAACGCUAAUACCGCAUAACAUAUCGGAACCGCAUGAUUCUGAUAUCAAAGGAGCAAUCCGCUGAGAGAUGGGCUCGCGUCCGAUUAGUUAGUUGGUGAGGUAACGGCUCACCAAGACUACGAUCGGUAGCCGGACUGAGAGGUUGAUCGGCCACAUUGGGACUGAGACACGGCCCAGACUCC